This 150-nucleotide ribosomal RNA is filed under the name Vibrio hangzhouensis. Its description in RNAcentral is "16S rRNA. Bacterial SSU". It matches the Rfam family "Bacterial small subunit ribosomal RNA", at positions 1 to 132 of the family's 1533-position model. The record is from RNAcentral. Lineage: Bacteria; Pseudomonadati; Pseudomonadota; Gammaproteobacteria; Vibrionales; Vibrionaceae.
UUAAAUUGAAGAGUUUGAUCAUGGCUCAGAUUGAACGCUGGCGGCAGGCCUAACACAUGCAAGUCGAGCGGAAACGAGUUAACUGACCCUUCGGGUAACGUUAACGGCGUCGAGCGGCGGACGGGUGAGUAAUGCCUGGGAAUAUGCCUU